RNAcentral lists this ribosomal RNA (404 nucleotides) under uncultured bacterium. RNAcentral describes it as "bacterial SSU rRNA". It matches the Rfam family "Bacterial small subunit ribosomal RNA", at positions 355 to 776 of the family's 1533-position model. The record is from RNAcentral.
UGGGGAAUAUUGGACAAUGGGCGCAAGCCUGAUCCAGCAAUGCCGCGUGGGUGAAGAAGGUCUUCGGAUCGUAAAGCCCUUUCGACAGGGACGAUGAUGACGGUACCUGUAGAAGAAGCCCCGGCUAACUUCGUGCCAGCAGCCGCGGUAAUACGAAGGGGGCUAGCGUUGCUCGGAAUUACUGGGCGUAAAGGGCGCGUAGGCGGCUUAGUCAGUCAGGCGUGAAAUUCCUGGGCUUAACCUGGGGUCUGCGUUUGAGACGGCUAUGCUAGAGGGUAGGAGAGGGUCGUGGAAUUCCCAGUGUAGAGGUGAAAUUCGUAGAUAUUGGGAAGAACACCGGUGGCGAAGGCGGCGACCUGGCCUAUUACUGACGCUGAGGCGCGACAGCGUGGGGAGCAAACAGG